RNAcentral lists this ribosomal RNA (1512 nucleotides) under metagenome. RNAcentral describes it as "bacterial SSU rRNA". It matches the Rfam family "Bacterial small subunit ribosomal RNA". The record is from RNAcentral.
AGGGUUUGAUUCUGGCUCAGAGCGAACGCUGGCGGCGUGUUUGAUUCAUGCAAGUCGAACGGAAGUGUUCUUUCGAGGACACGAGAGUGGCGUAAGGCCGAGUAAUACAUGGGUAACAUGCCCUUGAGAUUGGGACAACCCAGGGAAACCUGGGCUAAUACCGGAUACGUCCGCGUCACGCAUGUGAUGUGGAGAAAGGCGGGUUUUCGGACCUGUCGCUCAAGGAUUGGCCCGUGGCCUAUUAGCUUGUUGGUGAGGUAACAGCUCACCAAGGCGAAGAUGGGUAGCCGACCUGAGAGGGUGAUCGGCCGGACUGGGACUGAGACACUGCCCAGACUCCUACGGGAGGCAGCAGAGGAGAAUCAUCCACAAUGGGCGAAAGCCUGAUGGUGCGACGCCGCGUGGGGGAUGAAGGCCCUUGGGUUGUAAACCCCUGUUGAGACCUAGGAAAGCAUGGAGGGUUAAUACCCCUUUUUGUUGACCAAGUCUUGAGGAAGCUCCGGCUAACUCCGUGCCAGCAGCCGCGGUAAGACGGAGGGAGCAAGCGUUGCUCGGAAUUACUGGGCGUAAAGGGCGUGUAGGCGGAUUGGUAAGUUGGGUGUGAAAUCCCUCGGCUCAACCGAGGAACUGCAUUCAAUACUGCCAGUCUUGAGUUUGGAAGAGGAGAGUGGAACUCCUGGUGGAGCGGUGAAAUGCGUAGAUAUCAGGAGGAACGUCAGUGGCGAAAGCGGCUCUCUGGUCCAAUACUGACGCUGAGGCGCGAAAGCCAGGGUAGCGAACGGGAUUAGAUACCCCGGUAGUCCUGGCCCUAAACGAUGGGCACUAGGUAGAUGUGACUUUAAUGUUGUGUCUGCCGUAGCUAACGUGUUAAGUGCCCCGCCUGGGGAGUAUGGUCGCAAGGCUAAAACUCAAAGAAAUUGACGGGGGCUCGCACAAGCGGUGGAGGAUGUGGCUUAAUUCGAGGCAACGCGAAGAACCUUACCGGGGAUUGACAUCUAUGUGGUACGGACCCGAAAGGGCGAGGACCCGGUUUACCGGGAGCAUAGACAGGUGUUGCAUGGCUGUCGUCAGCUCGUGUCGUGAGAUGUUGGGUUAAGUCCCGUAACGAGCGAAACCCUUGUCAUUAGUUGCCAGCGCGUCAUGGCGGGGACUCUAAUGAGACUGCCGGUGUUAAACCGGAGGAAGGUGGGGAUGACGUCAAGUCCUCAUGGCCCUUACACCCCGGGCUGCACACGUCCUACAAUGGCCGAUACAAAGGGAUGCUAUACCGCGAGGUGGCGCAAACCCCAAAAAGUCGGUCUCAGUUCGGAUCGUAGGCUGCAAUUCGCCUGCGUGAAGUCGGAAUCGCUAGUAAUCGCGUAUCAGCAUGACGCGGUGAAUAUGUUCCCGAGCCUUGUACACACCGCCCGUCUAGCCACGAGAGCUGGGGGUACCUGAAGUCGCUAACCUAACCCUAGAGGAAGGAAGCGCCCACGGUAAACCUGGCGAUUGGGACUAAGUCGAAACAAGGUA